ACGGGUGCGUAACGCGUAGGAACGUGUCUUGAGGUGGGGGACAACCCUGGGAAACUGGGGCUAAUACCGCAUAUGUCCUGAGGGACAAAGCAGCGAUGCGCCUUGAGAGCGGCCUGCGUCCGAUUAGGUUGUUGGUGGGGUAAUGGCCUACCAAGCCUGCGAUCGGUAGCUAGUCUGAGAGGAUGAUCAGCCACACUGGGACUGAGACACGGCCCAGACUCCUACGGGAGGCAGCAGUGGGGAAUAUUGGACAAUGGGCGCAAGCCUGAUCCAGCAAUGCCGCGUGGGUGAAGAAGGUCUUCGGAUCGUAAAGCCCUUUCGACAGGGACGAUGAUGACGGUACCUGUAGAAGAAGCCCCGGCUAACUUCGUGCCAGCAGCCGCGGUAAUACGAAGGGGGCUAGCGUUGCUCGGAAUUACUGGGCGUAAAGGGCGCGUAGGCGGCUUGGCCAGUCAGGCGUGAAACUCCUGGGCUUAACCUGGGGACUGCGCUUGAUACUGCUAGGCUUGAGGCCGAGAGAGGGUGGUGGAAUUCCCAGUGUAGAGGUGAAAUUCGUAGA
RNAcentral lists this ribosomal RNA (559 nucleotides) under uncultured bacterium. RNAcentral's name for it is "bacterial SSU rRNA". It matches the Rfam family "Bacterial small subunit ribosomal RNA", at positions 102 to 694 of the family's 1533-position model. The record is from RNAcentral.